RNAcentral lists this long non-coding RNA (6543 nucleotides) under Vitis vinifera (wine grape). RNAcentral's name for it is "long non-coding RNA (VVIN_LNC002578)". Lineage: Eukaryota; Viridiplantae; Streptophyta; Magnoliopsida; Vitales; Vitaceae. The record is from RNAcentral.
UUUGGGGCUGUUUAUAAGGGUGUUUUGGAGGAUGAAAGGGCAGUAGCAGUGAAGAAAUUGGGAGAUGCCACUCAAGGGGAAGGGGAGUUUUGGGCUGAAGUAAGCACAAUCGGAAAAAUCUAUCACAUGAACCUAGUCAGAAUGUGGGGAUUCUGUUCAGAGGGUAGACACAGACUUGUAGUCUACGAGCAUGUAGAAAAUCUGUCACUGGAUAAGCAUCUCUUCAGCACGAGUUGUCUGGGAUGGAAAGAGAGGUUUAACGUUGCAGUGGGGACAGCGAGGGGUUUAGCCUACCUUCACCAUGAGUGUCUAGAAUGGGUUAUCCACUGUGACGUGAAGCCUGAAAAUAUACUUCUAGACAACGGGUUUGAACCAAAGAUUGCAGAUUUUGGGCUAGCCAAGCUGUCUCAGAGAGGUGGCCCCGGUUCAGGAGAAUUCUCUCGGAUUCGGGGGACUAAAGGGUACAUGGCUCCAGAGUGGGCUAUGAAUCUUCCAAUUACGGCAAAAGUUGAUGUUUAUAGCUAUGGAGUUGUGGUUUUAGAGAUGGUGAGGGGAAUUCGGCUUUCGAAAUGGGUGGGUGAGGAUGGCGAGGAGCAGGAAGCUGAGCUGACGAGGUUUGUCAGGGCAGUGAAAAGGAAAAUUCAAUAUGGAGAAGACAAUUGGGUAGAGGAUACAGUGGACCCAAGAUUGAAGGGGAAGUUUAGUAGGCAGCAGGCAACAAUGUUGGUCGAAAUAGGUAUUUCUUGUGUGGAGGAAGAUAGAAGUAAAAGACCAACAAUGGCCACCGUAGUCCAAGUUCUACUGGAAUGCGAAGGUGAAGCCCAAGUCCAAACCUUGGACUUGGAGUAAAUGUCUUUUUUUAUUUAUUUACUGAAUAAGUUAUGGGGUCUGUAUCUCCUGAACAAAUUACAUAGUUGUCAUUGGUUUUUCUUGUUUUCUUUUUGUAUGGGGUCUGUAGCCACUUCUUUGGCACUACAUCAAUUUGGAAUCUUACAAGUUCAUGGUCCUGGGUAGCAUAAAAUAUUCACCUUCCAUAUAAUAAUAGAAAUACGCUGAAUGCAGAUAAUACCAUUCUUUAAAAAUUAAAAAUCCAUGCGAGUGUGUCCAAAUUUGGCAAGUGGGGUGGCGACUAGGUGGGUCACAACGGUCAUUAUAUUCCAAACCCCAAUUAGUUAUUCUCAUGCUCGCCCACCAGUUCUUGUUUUUCUCUCUCUCUCUUUUUUUUUUUCUUUUUUUUUUUUAAAUCUUAAUUAUAUUUAAAAUAAAUAUAAUUUGUAUGUAAAUAAAUAGUAUAACUUUUUAUGAUUUAUUUUUAUAAGAUAUAUUUUCAUUUUAUAUUUGUUAAAAACUAAAAAAUAUUUUUUAUUUAAUUAUAUAUAUAUAAAUUGGAUGAGACAAUACAAUAUCUCAACUACCCCCAUCAAAAUAAGAAAAUUCAAAUCUAUCACUAAUUUUAUAUGUCUUAUCCGAAACUCAUCUAAUGUCACCUAAAGUACGUGUAUCCGCGAAAACAUGCUUCAGGUCCAUUCCUAAUUGAGACAUCUUUUUUGACGGUCUGUUCACCUCAAAGCUCAAUGUCUGACAACCAAGUGACCAACCAAGCACGUCUUCUCGAAGAAAGGACCAAGCAUUUUCUGAGAACAGCUUAAGACGGUGAGUUUAAGACCAAAAUAAUCUAUUUAUAAAAAAAAAUUGACAAGAAUAGUACCCAUCUCAAAAUAUUUGUCAAAGUAAUCUUUUGUAUCCACGUAAGCAUAUACAUAAAUUUUUUUUUUAAGUGUAAAAAAUCACCGUUGGUAACUCUGGUUUUAAAAGUUUCAAAAAUAUCAUUAAAACCAUAGUUUGUGACUUUGGUUUUACAAUUUCCUUAAAACCAUAGUUACUAACUGUGGUUUCAAAAUUAUUUUUAAUCCACCCCCGUUUGAAUGGUACUGUGAUUUUAAUAUUAAUUUUAAAAUAUUCUUUAUCAUAAUAACCAUAAAACCAUAGUUAGUUUCACACUUUACCAAAAUUUCUUAACGAUGUACCAAAUUUCCUUAAAAUUCGUUUCGGAGUGGAGAAAUCUUUUUACAAUUUUCCAUUAUCAGUUUAAAACUAUUUUUUUUUUUAUAAAUUAUCCUUAAUAAAUUUUUUCUUUAUGACUGUUUUAAAAUUAUAUAUAUAUAUAUUAUCUUUAUUUUUUUUUUCAUAUUUUCCUUGAAAUUUUGAGAAAAUAAUUUCGCUUACAUGCAUUUCCAUAAAAAUUUAUAUAUUUAUGGUAAAUAAAAUAUUUAUUUGUUUUAUGAAUUUUAUCACAUAUGAAUUAAAGAAAAUUAUUUUUAAAUUUUAAAGUAAUUAAACAAAUUGUUUAUAUUAUUUAAAAUUUUAUAUUUUCAUAUAAAAAAUAAUGUCAAUGAUUAUGAUUUUAGGUUAUUCCUUACUAAUUGUGGUUUAAUGGUUAUUAUGAUAAAAAAUAUUUUACCAUUAAAAUGGAGGUGGAUUAAAAAUAAUUUUGAAACCACAGUUAGUAACUGUGGUUCUAAGGAAAAUUGUAAAACCAUAGUCACAAAUUGUGGUUUUAAGCAUAUUUUUGAAACUUUUAAAACCACAGUUACCAACAGUGGUUUUUUACACUUAAAAAAAAAAUUCAUGUGGAUGCUUACGUGCAUACAAAAGAUUACUUUGACAAAUAUUUUGAAAUGGGUACAAUUCUUACCAUUUUUUUUUUUUACAAAAGGAUUAUUUUGGUCUUAAACUCCAAGUCAGCCUUACUCUCAAUGCUUAGCUUGCUAAGCUAAGAUGCACCCGACUUAGAAGCUUUAGAGGGCGUAGUAGACAACACUUAAAGAAUGAAAUCGUUAUUGCUCAAAGGAAGCUUUACAAGUGCUUUGGAACUCACUUGGUUGGUUGGUUGGUUAGGUUCUUGGGUAGUGCCUUGGCCAAAUGAGGCUUUAACUUAUUUAUAGGCACCUUAGGAAGUCUCUAAAAUCUUGAAAGGUUCCUUACAAAUCAAGAAUAAUCUAGAAGCUAUUACACUAGUCUAUGUACAAAGGAAUGUACAAGAUGACUUUUCAAGAUUCUAGAACACCCUACACUAUUCCAAUGUUCUCCUAGCCAAGUGUAGAGAUGUAUGAACAUCUCUAACCCUUUUUAGAAGUUUCCAUAUUCUUUACUUUGUAACUAAGUGUAGAUGUCUCCAAGGGUCUCUAGAAGCUUCUCACAUCUUAUAUAAGGCUAUAUGGAGGGUCAUUUGAAACAUCUUGUGACAUUAAGGCCAAACUACGUAAAUGUUGUGUAUUUUGUUUUCGUUUUCUUACUCUUUUAUGUAGGACCUCAGGCGCUAUCAACUCUCUAAAAAGCAAUUGUUGUUAGGAGAGUUGAUAGCGCCUGAAGUCCUACAAGUGGUAUCAGAGUCGAGGUCACGGGUUCGAACCCCAAGGGUAUUGUUGGGGGGGGGGGGGGGGGAAGAGAUUGUUGGCAAAUCGAAGGGUUGGCCACGUCCAUCAACUUCCCUUGUAUUCGUCGUGGGCGCUUGGGUGAAUACACUAUAAGGUUAGAGUAUGCACAUUUCCUAACAACAAUUACUUUUAGGAGAGUUGGUAGUAUUUGAGGUCCUACAUCUUCUCCUUAUUAUUAUUUUUUUAUCGUGGUUUUUACACAGCAAUAGUCACUAAUUAUGAUUUUAUGUUUAAAAAUAAAAAACCAAAACUGUACUUAUUAAAAAAAAUAAAAAAAAUCUUCGGUAACUUGAAUACCCAAGUGUGUCAAAUGCAGUAGUUUGAGAGUUAUUUUGAUUGAACAUAUACUUUUGGAUUUCUUUUUCUUUUAAUUUUAUGAAUUUUUUUUAAAUAUAUUCUUUUUUCUCAAAGCUUAGAACUCAGCAUGUCCUUGGUUACAUAUAUAUUCGUUUAAACUACAAACAUAUAUAGAUUAUAAAGUAUUAAGGAUGAGGUAUGAACAUAUAAAAAAUGGACAAGAAGGAACAAAUGGAAGAUUCAUGGUGGUGUGUGAAAUGAAAUCUCCAAUAGAGAUUCACUAAUUAUACUGUGAAUGCGGUGGUUUGAAAAUCCAAUAGCAUCCUCGUUGAGAAUGAUCAAAUUUUAGGGUUUUACCAAUAUUGUCCCCCUGGAAUAAUGACCAAAUUCUUGGCAUUGAAAUGUGAGAAACGAAGCCGGAAUGUGUGGAGUAUUAAAAAGAAGGGUGACUUAGCUUCAUUGCCAACAAGUCUUUAGAGGAACUUCGUCUAUAACUUACAUCAGAUAAGAAGAAGCCACGACUUCGUUAGUAGCUUUCAUCAUAUAACAAGAGUUCUUGAGGUAUAAUUAGGUAUGCCUAUGGCCGGCAUCAUUGCUUACGAGUCUUUCACGGGUCAGCGUAUGUAGCUAUCUUACAUAAAAUAAAGAUACAUCACGAUUUCAUGUGUAGCUUAAAUGAGGCAAGGAGAGGCCUUCACUUACGAAAACUUGUGUAAGGCAUUAAUAUCAGGGUGACGAUCCAGUUGUGUCAUUCCCAUUCCCACGUCAUGUAUACGGUGCAGCCAAAUUUGACAAAGGGUACCUUGAGACCCUUUCCCCGCUUAAAUUGGUUAAAUAUAAUUCAUCUCCAUUAAAAAAUCUUGGGACAUCCUUUGAUUGACAGUUCCAUGUUUGAAAAGCUGAUCAAGAUAUUGGAUACUUAAUUGGUAUAAUGCCUUCCUCCUUAAUUUCCUACGUGAAGUAGUGGAUAUAAAACUAACAUUUUCUUAACCAACCAAAGAUGCAUUUCUAAACCAAACUUGGAAAGACAUGGGAAACCUAUUUUCCUCCAUUCUUCUCAUCCUUCUUAUCUCUUUCUUCUUCUCUUUUACAACUUCCAAAACCCAGAACUUUUUGCAAAGAGGCUCCUCUCUCUCUGUCGAAGAUGAUUCGGACGACUACAUCACCUCCCCAGACAAAUCAUUCACUUGUGGUUUCUAUGGGAUGGGGGAAAAUGCUUACUGGUUUUCAAUAUGGUUCACAAAUUCGAAGGAAAGAACUGUUGUUUGGAUGGCCAAUCGAAAUAGACCUGUCAAUGGCCGGGGCUCCAGAAUUUCGCUGCAGAGAGAUGGCACCAUGAUGCUAAGGGAUGCUGAUGGCUCAACUGUUUGGGAGACUAACACUACCUCUACCGAUGUUGAUCGAGCAGAGCUUUUGGACACUGGAAACCUUGUUCUCAAGGACCCACGAGGUAAAAUUCUGUGGCAAAGCUUUGAUUUUCCAACUGAUACUCUUCUGCCAAACCAAAUCUUUACCACGAGCACAAAGCUGAUCUCUAUUCUCAGAAGAGGGGAUUUUUCUUCUGGUUACUUUAACUUCCUUUUUGACAAUGAUAAUGUCUUGAGAAUGAUGUAUGAUGGGCCUGAGAUUUCAAGCUUGUAUUGGCCUAAUCCUGAUUGGGAUGUUUUCCAAAAUGGAAGAACAAACUAUAACAGUAGCAGAAUUGCUGUUUUAGAUGAAAUGGGGAGGUUUCUUUCGAGUGAUCAAAUGUCUUUCAAAGCUUCUGACAUGGGUUUUGGAGUCAAAAGGAGGCUGACAAUGGACUACGAUGGAAACCUGAGACUCUAUAGCUUAAACCAUUCCACGGGAUUAUGGAAUAUAUCAUGAGAAGCUCUUAGGCAACAGUGUAAAGUGCAUGGGCUAUGUGGUAGAAAUGGGAUUUGUAUUUAUACACCAGAACCCAAGGGUUCAUGUCCUCCGGGCUAUGAAGUAAGUGACCCAAGUGACUGGAGCAAAGGUUGCAAGUCUAAGUUCAACCAAAGCUGUUCCCAAACACAGCAGGUAAAAUUUGUGGAGCUUCCCCAGACCGAUUACUAUGGGUUUGAUCUCAAUUACAGCCAAUCUGUUUCAAUGGAAGCUUGCAGGAAAAUCUGCUUGGACGAUUGCCUUUGCCAAGGAUUCGCCUACAGGCUAACAGGAGAAGGGAACUGUUACGCAAAAAGUACCCUUUUCAAUGGCUACAAGUCCUCCAACUUCCCUGGGAGUUUAUAUUUAAAACUGCCUGUGGAUGUCGAAACGUCAGCACCCACUGUCCUUAAUGGUUCUGAUCUCAUAUGCGAGUCCAAGGAGGUUGAGGUUGUGCACAGUUCUUCUGUGUAUGACACUGCCAGUAAAAAGAUGAGAUGGGUUUAUCUCUACUCAUUUGCUUCUGCCAUUGGUGCCAUAGUAGUUCUCUUUAUUGUGUCAGGUUGGUGGUUUCUUUUCAGGGUACAUAAUGUGCCAUCUUCAGCUGAAGAUGGAUAUGGUCCGAUAUCAAGCCCGUUCAGGAGAUUUAGCUACACCGAACUCAAGAAGGCAACCAACAAUUUCAAAGUGGAGCUUGGAAGAGGAGGCUUUGGGGCUGUUUAUAAGGGUGUUUUGGUGGAUGAAAGGGCAGUAGCAGUGAAGAAAUUGGGAGAUUCCACUCAAGGGGAAGGGGAGUUUUGGGCUGAAGUAAGCACAAUCGGAAAAAUCUAUCACAUGAACCUAGUCAGAAUGUGGGGAUUCUGUUCAGAGGGUAGACACAGACUUGUAGUCUACGAGCAUGUAGAAAAUCUGUCACUGGAUAAGC